GGACGGGUGGCCGAGUGGCUUAAGGCGCACGAUUGGAAAUCGUGUGGGUGCAAGCCCGCGUGGGUUCGAAUCCCACCCCGUCCG
Molecule: transfer RNA, 84 nt
Filed under: Gammaproteobacteria bacterium
Lineage: Bacteria; Pseudomonadati; Pseudomonadota; Gammaproteobacteria
Also listed under: 4 other names
Description: tRNA-Ser
Rfam family: tRNA
About the family: Transfer RNA (tRNA) molecules are approximately 80 nucleotides in length. Their secondary structure includes four short double-helical elements and three loops (D, anti-codon, and T loops).
Source: RNAcentral